GACGAACGCUGGCGGCGUGCUUAACACAUGCAAGUCGAACGGAAAGGCCCUGCUUUUGUGGGGUGCUCGAGUGGCGAACGGGUGAGUAACACGUGAGUAACCUGCCCUUGACUUUGGGAUAACUUCAGGAAACUGGGGCUAAUACCGGAUAGGAGCUCCUGCUGCAUGGUGGGGGUUGGAAAGUUUCGGCGGUUGGGGAUGGACUCGCGGCUUAUCAGCUUGUUGGUGGGGUAGUGGCUUACCAAGGCUUUGACGGGUAGCCGGCCUGAGAGGGGGACCGGCCACAAUGGUACUGAGGUACGGCCCAGACGCCUACGGGGGGCAGCAGUGGGGAAUAUUGCACAGUGGGCGGAAGCCUGAUGCAGCAACGCCGCGUGCGGGAUGACGGCCUUCUGGUUGUAAACCGCUUUCGCCUGUGACGAAGCGUGAGUGACGGUAAUGGGUGAAGAAGCACCGGCUAACUACGUG
This 468-nucleotide ribosomal RNA is filed under the name uncultured bacterium. Its description in RNAcentral is "partial 16S ribosomal RNA". It matches the Rfam family "Bacterial small subunit ribosomal RNA", at positions 28 to 507 of the family's 1533-position model. The record is from RNAcentral.